RNAcentral lists this ribosomal RNA (2163 nucleotides) under Scyllarus arctus. Its description in RNAcentral is "eukaryotic LSU rRNA". It matches the Rfam family "Eukaryotic large subunit ribosomal RNA", at positions 82 to 1658 of the family's 3401-position model. The record is from RNAcentral. Lineage: Eukaryota; Metazoa; Arthropoda; Malacostraca; Decapoda; Scyllaridae.
AGUAAGGGCGACUGAACAGGGAAGAGCCCAGCGCAUAAGCUCGUGUCCCCAAACCGGGCACGAGCGGUGUUGCGUUCCGGAGGGUCCGGCACGCCGUCCCAUACCGCCUAAGUCAAGCUUGAACGCGGCCACUACCCAUGGAGGGUGACAGGCCCGUAUGGCGGCGCCCGCGAGGGUACAGAUGGGGCGGUCGGAAAGGACUUCUCUCCGUAGAGUCGGGUUGCUUGAAAGUGCAGCCCAAAGUAGGUGGUAAACUCCAUCUAAGGCUAAAUAUGACCACGAGACCGAUAGCGAACAAGUACCGUGAGGGAAAGUUGAAAAGAACUUUGAAGAGAGAGUUCAAGAGUACGUGAAACCGUCAAGAGCCAAACGGGUGGAGGCUCGAAGGUCGAAUUGAGGGGAUUCAGCCCGUCGGCAACUAUGUUGGCUGGUAGGUUCUGGUACGACCCUUUUAAACUUGGGCGUCCUGCCUACCUUAGCUGGCGUCGGCGGGCGUACUUCGCCUCUUAGUAGGUCGCCGCGACCCGUUGCUGGGGACGUCUAAGGCCCGGGUGGAUUGGUACCCCGCCGCUUGUCUUCCUUCCUUCGGGGGGGUUUUCCGGCGACUGGGGGAAACCCUCGGUGUUUCCUGGCUGCCCUGCGACGGUCGUUGAGAGGAGCCCUCUCUUGGCUUGCCAAGGGGGGUCUCUCGCGGCGUAUAAAAGUUCGGCGCUCCACCCGUCCCGUCUUGAAACACGGGCCAAGGAGUCCAACAUGUGUGCGAGUCAUUGGGCGCACUAAACCCAAAGGCGAAAUUAAAGUGAGAUGGCUUGGUACGGACGACGGAGUUGUUGGUAGGAACGUGCGUCGGGUUGGAGGUCUUUCGGGGCUGAAGGCUCGUCGUGCUUACUACUCCCCUCUCUAGAAUCCUGCCGCUUUGGCCAUGGGUCGAUCCUCGACUGGCUGCCCUCGGGUUCCCAUCCUCUUCUGUCGAGUACGCUGGAUGAGUUAUUUUCUCCGGUCUCUGCUCGGUAGGGGGUUUACGGGAUGGUGCUCGGACGGCGAAAGUCUUAAUUUUCAUCUUCGGAUGAUUGUAACCUGCUUUAGACAGGGGGGCGCAGGCCCGGGACUUGCCAUAGACGCCACAUGUCUCCCAUAGGUUGCUGCCUUCGCUGCUGUCGCAUCCGUCUUUAUGAUGUGAGGUGUGGCUGUUGGCGGGGGUGGGCGCCGACCGGGUUAGCGAGUGUGUAGUCGGCAAGUACCAUGAGCAGGCAUGUUGGGACCCGAAAGAUGGUGAACUAUGCCUGGCCAGGAUGAAGCCAGAGGAAACUCUGGUGGAGGUCCGUAGCGAUUCUGACGUGCAAAUCGAUCGUCAGAGCUGGGUAUAGGGGCGAAAGACUAAUCGAACCAUCUAGUAGCUGGUUCCCUCCGAAGUUUCCCUCAGGAUAGCUGGAACUCGCUCCCAGAUGAAUUUCAUCCGGUAAAGCGAAUGAUUAGAGGUCUUGGGGACGAAACGUCCUCAACCUAUUCUCAAACUUUAAAUGGGUGAGAUGCCGAGCUUGCUUAAAAGCUGAAGCUUCGGCGAAGAAUCGGAGUUCCUAGUGGGCCACUUUUGGUAAGCAGAACUGGCGCUGUGGGAUGAACCAAACGUCGAGUUAAGGGGCCUAAACGAAUGCUCAUUCAGAUCCCAUCGAAAGGUGUUGGUUGCUAUAGACAGCAGGACGGUGGCCAUGGAAGUUGGAAUCCGCUAAGGAGUGUGUAACAACUCACCUGCCGAAGCAACUAGCCCUUAAAAUGGUAUGGCGCUCAAGCAUUCUCCCGAUACUCGACCGCCGGGGCACUACAGGCUUUUAGUUCAUUCUAAAGGUCUCGAAGCCCCGGUGAGUAGGAGGGUCGCGGUGGUGAGCGCCGAAGGGUUCGGCGUGAGCCGGCCUGGAGCCUCCACCGGUGCAGAUCUUGGUGGUAGUAGCAAAUAAUCGAGAGAGACUUCCUUGAAGGCCGAAGUGGAGAAGGGUUCCAUGUGAACAUCAGUUGGACAUGGGUUAGUCGCUCCUAAGCCCAAGGCGAAAGCCUGAUCCCACGCUAGCGGCAACGACCAAUCGAGAGAUACAUAGAGUGUGUCCAAUAAUGGAAGUAUGAGAAAGAGAGGAAAGAAGGAAGGAAGGGUGAAGACCUCUGGUGAUG